GUGUGUGUGUGUGUGUGGUGUGUAGUCCUGAGAUAGGAGACCUGAGGAAAUUCUGUGAGAAGCACCUGGUUUACUGACUGUUGGGUGAUUUCACUAAUUCUAUCUUAAGGAACCUGAAGAGUCAGGGAACAAUCGUUAUGAGAAGGAGGGAGGAGCCAGGGACCCAUGAGAGACCAAAAGGAGAGCCCUGCACUGGAGCUGGGCCCUGGAGGCCUCAGUCUGUGAGCCAGUUCAUCUAAGCUUUGGCUCAUGUAGCAGCAACAUUCUUCAUUGAGAAAGAGGCGGAUGCCUCCCCUUUCAGCAGUUAGCAAGCCUGGGUUCUUUGGUUUUUCGGGACCACCAAUGCCAGGGAUGUGAGCUGGUUUUGGAGCAGUUGCAGGGCUAAGGUUGAGUUUUGGAUGGUGUCUGCUAGCUGGGUGGAAAUCUGCUGUGAUUCUUACAGACUUUGACAAAUCUGACCACACCUGUGGCAACUGCUGAGGCUACCAAAGUGUCUCCAAUCAUGACCGGAAGAGCCACGUCAGUUCCUGUGCAUGAGUUGGAGGAGGGGGUAGAACUCUCCUUCGGUGUGUAGGGCUGGGGAAGCAACAAACAGGGAAACAAGGACCAUGAGUGGAUUUGCCCAUCUGCUUAGUUGACACCAGAUGAGAUGUUAGUAUGUGCUGACGAAGGGCUGGGAAGGAAGUUAAAGAGGCAGCCGGCUGGUGUCUCCAGAGAGUAGAGAGAUGGGGGUGGGUGAGAGAGAGGAAAUGAUUUGGAGAUUACACAGCUUGGAGGCUAGGGUUAUGUGGGUAAGAGGAAUAGCUCCCUUGAGGGACUGUUGCAGAGGAACACGAAGGAAGCAAGAGGACCCAUUGUUACUGCCACAGGCGUGGAGAAGACCCGGGGAUUCAUUUAGAAUAAUAGUCUUCCAGAAGGCCAGCUUGGGAGAGGUCUCAUGCAGCAUGGAUGUAGCAGAAAAGCCGUUCUCCCCCUACGGCCUGCCCCGAGCCCUCUGUCCUCAAGCAUUGCACAUGUGUUGAGAAAGGCCCACUGUGUGUCAGGGAAAGAGGUAAAAAAAAGUUCCAGAGCCAGAGGAGAAGCCAGGAGCCCCCAUGACGGCCUGGUCAACCCAGCCAUUGAAUGAUGAAGAUUUGUGAGGAUGAGGACUCUGGGAGCAGAGUUUGCUGCCUGCUCUGGUGCCCCUGUCCAGCCUCCUGCGUGUAAUUUCCCCUGGAUCCUCAGGUUUUUGUCCCUGUGUUUGCAGCGAGUUAAGUGCCCCAGACAUUGGAUUUGUAGCCGUUGCAGCUCUGCGGGGAUAGAGCAUCCUCCUAAUUACAAGGUUCUUCUGAAGCAGUAUGUUACCUUAGCGCCAGCAGCUCGCACGUCUCACAUGCGACUCCCCCCACGUCACUGGAACUCUUCCAAGAGCCACAUGGAGUGGCUGGCCCAUUGAAUGGACUGUUCUUUUCUGCAACCCCAUUUGGUUUCAUAGCAGUGUUUCUUCUUUCUUUCCCCUUGGAACCUUGGGAAAUCCCCCCAAAGAUGAGAGCCCAUGAGCUCUCAUCUCAUUGGCUGGCACAGACUGGCCAAGAGUGCUCAUCAGUGAAGGUUGAGCAUACAUGUUCAGUCAUCGCGCGUUGAUUGAGUGCUGUAUGUGCAUGGAUGCAAAGGUGAGCCUCUGAAGGACUGCAGAGACCAGUGAAUGAAUAAACAAAUCCGUGACUUCAAGACUCGUCUUCACUCCCGGAUGCGGUGAGGGCCCAGGGACUAUCUCUACCCAUCAGAGACAAAGGGACACCACGUCCAGGCACGGCGCCCUCUUGUCUCUGAAUCUCACUCUCCCCACAUGGAAGAUGGGGCCAGCGAUUACCAACUUCCUGGGCCAUGGGGGGUUCAUCGUGGAGCUGGUGAACCCCCUUCAUACUCUCAUCUCUCCUAGGGCUGUUCAUGAGGUCAUUUGUAGUUUGCAGACACUACGGAGUCAGGCUGUUUUCUUGUAAAGAACGCUCCUGCGAUGGCUAAUCUUCAUUGUCAACCCCACAGAAUGGAAAAUCACCCGGGUACAUCCAUGUCUGCGCCAAUGAGGCUGUUUCCAGAGAAUUUAACUGAGGAGGGACAACCUGCCCUGAACAUGGGUGACACUGUUAUUCUUUUGUUUAAAAAGAAGAAAAGAGAAAUAUUGAGAUGGACAUAUUGACUAUAAGUUUAUUAUAAGGACCGGCAGAAUGGGGAGACUAAGAGGAGGA
Non-coding RNA from Cricetulus griseus (Chinese hamster), 2228 nucleotides. NCBI's taxonomy places the organism in Eukaryota, Metazoa, Chordata, Mammalia, Rodentia, Cricetidae. The record is from RefSeq and is a predicted model, not a curated record.